Molecule: ribosomal RNA, 224 nt
Filed under: uncultured bacterium
Lineage: Bacteria
Description: partial 16S ribosomal RNA
Rfam family: Bacterial small subunit ribosomal RNA
Source: RNAcentral
ACGCUCGACACCUACGGGAGGCAGCAGUUAGGAAUAUUCGUCAAUGGGGGAAACCCUGAACGAGCAAUGCCGCGUGUGUGAUGAAGGCCCUCUGGGUUGUAAAACACUGUUGUUUGGAAAGAAUUGUAUAAGUAGGAAAUGACUUAUACUUGACGGUACCAUUCAAGAAAGCCACGGCUAACUACGUGCCUGCAGCCGCGGUAAUCUGAGCGGGCUGGCAAGGC